UCAGAUUGCAGGCUGCAACCCGCCUGCAUGAAGUCGGAAUUGCUAGUAAUCGCGGAUCAGCAUGCCGCGGUGAAUACGUUCCCGGGCCUUGUACACACCGCCCGUCACACCAUGGGAGCCGGUAAUACCCGAAGUCAGUAGUCCAACCACGUGAGGACGCUGCCGAAGGUAGGAUUGGCGACUGGGGUGAAGUCGUAACAAGGUAAC
RNAcentral lists this ribosomal RNA (207 nucleotides) under uncultured bacterium. RNAcentral describes it as "partial 16S ribosomal RNA". It matches the Rfam family "Bacterial small subunit ribosomal RNA", at positions 1293 to 1500 of the family's 1533-position model. The record is from RNAcentral.